RNAcentral lists this ribosomal RNA (454 nucleotides) under Streptococcus mitis. RNAcentral describes it as "bacterial SSU rRNA". It matches the Rfam family "Bacterial small subunit ribosomal RNA", at positions 28 to 468 of the family's 1533-position model. Lineage: Bacteria; Bacillati; Bacillota; Bacilli; Lactobacillales; Streptococcaceae. The record is from RNAcentral.
GACGAACGCUGGCGGCGUGCCUAAUACAUGCAAGUAGAACGCUGAAGGGGGAGCUUGCUUCUCCGGAUGAGUUGCGAACGGGUGAGUAACGCGUAGGUAACCUGCCUGGUAGCGGGGGAUAACUAUUGGAAACGAUAGCUAAUACCGCAUAAGAGUAGAUGUUGCAUGACAUUUGCUUAAAAGGUGCAAUUGCAUCACUACCAGAUGGACCUGCGUUGUAUUAGCUAGUUGGUGGGGUAACGGCUCACCAAGGCGACGAUACAUAGCCGACCUGAGAGGGUGAUCGGCCACACUGGGACUGAGACACGGCCCAGACUCCUACGGGAGGCAGCAGUAGGGAAUCUUCGGCAAUGGACGGAAGUCUGACCGAGCAACGCCGCGUGAGUGAAGAAGGUUUUCGGAUCGUAAAGCUCUGUUGUAAGAGAAGAACGAGUGUGAGAGUGGAAAGUUCACA